GUGGUGGUGGUGGCGACUGUGGUGGUUAGGUGGUGGUGGUGGUGGCGACUAGAUGGUAGUGGUAGCAAGGUGAGAUAGUGGUAAUGGUAGUGGCCAGGGUGAUGGUAGUGGUGGCAGGCGGUCAAGUGGUGGUAGUGGUGAUAGUGAUAGUAGUAACAGAAAGAUGGUGGUGGUGACAAGGAUAGCGGUGGUAAUAUUAAUGGCAAUCAAGUCAUAGUGGUGAUGAUAGCAGUAUUGUUAAUAUAUGAAAAAAAUUAAAAUAAGUAAUCAUAAUUAUAUUUACUUUUAUAUAUAUAUUUUAGAUAUAUUACAUAGUUUCAAUAAAAUUAUAUAUAUAUUAUACAAUUAAGAUGAUUGUAUAUAUAACUUAAUUUGUUUUUAGUUAUAAG
This 389-nucleotide unclassified non-coding RNA is filed under the name Hevea brasiliensis (rubber tree). The record is from RNAcentral. Lineage: Eukaryota; Viridiplantae; Streptophyta; Magnoliopsida; Malpighiales; Euphorbiaceae.